GAGGGAUUAACUGCAGCCCUGCUGGCUCUAGGGAGUGGGGGAAGGAAGAUGCAACUUCCUAGAGGGAAGCAAACAAGUUAUGUAUAAAGAAAACAGGUAUGAUCCUGUGGGCCAGUGCAUCAGCUGUAGAGUCCUAUGAAGACCCCCAAUGAGCAUGGUUAGAAUCUGUUCCAGAGCUGGAAUCAGUGUCGCCACUCAGUGCUUUACACGGGUUAAUGAGUCCUUCUCAGAAGCAGGCUACCUAGAUCAGUAUUUUUCCCUUUUCCUUUGAAAGAAGGCCAAAGGAGAGAAGAAGGGAGCUCUGUGGAGUAAAUUCACACACUUCUUUUGUGAUUUGUUAUUGAUCAUCGUUUCCUAAACUUUUCUCAUGUGAACUUAAGGAGGGGGGAAAAGGUUGUGCAUACAUAUUUCAGGUCCUGUCAUUGCCUAGCUAGAAUUAUAUAGGCCAAAAAUGACAGAACUUUGCUGUUAGCAACUGAUGAAAAAUGAAAAGCAUUUAAAGCUGAUACUUCAAAUGCCUGCCAGUUUCCCAAAUGUCUGAGGCCUCUUCAAGUUUUAGUUAUUCAUAUCAAUAUUAUUAGGCAUUUAAAAAAUAAAAACAUGGAGCA
This 608-nucleotide long non-coding RNA is filed under the name Phasianus colchicus (ring-necked pheasant). RNAcentral describes it as "lncRNA (ENSPCLG00000003731.1)". The record is from RNAcentral. Lineage: Eukaryota; Metazoa; Chordata; Aves; Galliformes; Phasianidae.